CAAAAGCUUGGUCCUGACUUUUCUGUCAGUUUUGUUCAAAUUUAUACAUGCAAGUAUCCGCAUCCCUGUGAGAAUGCCCUACAUUUUGCCUCAGCAAAAAAAGGAGCUGAAAUUAGGCACAACUUUGUUAGCCCACAAUUUCUUGUUAAACCACACCCCCAAGGGAACUCAGCAGUAAUAAACAUUAAGCUAUAAGUGUAAACUUGACUUAGUUAAGAGCAAGAGGGCCGGUAAAACUCGUGCCAGCCACCGCGGUUAUACGAGAGGCCCAAAUUGACGCCCGUCGGCAUAAAAUGCGGUUAAUUAUAGUAAUGCACUAAAACCAAAUGCCCUCAAAGCUGUUAUACGCACCCGAGGGUUAGAGGAUCUAUAACGAAGGUAGUUUUAAACAUUAUGACCCGCGAAAGCUAGGAAACAAACUGGGAUUAGAAACCCCACUAUGCCUAGCCCUAAACAAUUGUAGCACAACAUACCCGCUACUUGCCAGGAAACUACAAGCUCCAGCUUAAAACCCAAAGGACUUGGCGGUGCUUUAGACCCACCUAGAGGAGCCUGUUCUAGAACCGAUAACCCCCGUUAAACCUCACCCUCUCUUGUUUAUUCCGCCUAUAUACCGCCGUCGUCAGCCUACCCUGUGAGGGGCUAAUAGUGGGCAAAAUUGGUACAACCCAAAACGCCAGGUCGAGGUGUAGCGUAUGAGAGGGGAAGAAAUGGGCUACAUUCACUGCCCCAGUGUAAACGAAUGAUGUUUUGAAACACCCAUCUAAAGGAGGAUUUAGCAGUAAGCAGAGAAUAGAGAGCUCCGCUGAAACUGGCCCUGAAGCGCGCACACACCGCCCGUCACUCUCCUCAAUAACCCGCACAACUUAUAUAAACCACAAGAAUAUUAAAGAGGAGGCAAGUCGUAACAUGGUAAGUGUACCGGAAGGUGCACUUGGAAAACC
Molecule: non-coding RNA, 944 nt
Filed under: Crystallogobius linearis (crystal goby)
Lineage: Eukaryota; Metazoa; Chordata; Actinopteri; Gobiiformes; Gobiidae
Description: partial 12S ribosomal RNA
Rfam family: Bacterial small subunit ribosomal RNA
Source: RNAcentral